RNAcentral lists this ribosomal RNA (426 nucleotides) under uncultured bacterium. RNAcentral's name for it is "partial 16S ribosomal RNA". It matches the Rfam family "Bacterial small subunit ribosomal RNA", at positions 354 to 796 of the family's 1533-position model. The record is from RNAcentral.
GUGAGGAAUUUUCCGCAAUGGGCGAAAGCCUGACGGAGCAAUGCCGCGUGAAGGAUGAAGGCCUAUGGGUUGUAAACUUCUUUUCUCAGAAAAGAAUUAUGACGGUAUCUGAGGAAUAAGCAUCGGCUAACUCUGUGCCAGCAGCCGCGGUAAGACAGAGGAUGCAAGCGUUAUCCGGAAUGAUUGGGCGUAAAGCGUCUGUAGGUUGUUUAAAAAGUAUUCUGUCAAAGAUUAGGGCUUAACCCUAGAUAGGCAGAAUAAACUUUUAAGCUAGAGUUUGGUAGAGGCAGAGGUAAUUCCCGGUGGAGCGGUGAAAUGCGUAGAUAUCGGGAGGAACACCAAAGGCGAAGGCACUCUGCUGGGCCAAUACUAACACUGAGAGACGAAAGCGAGGGGAGCAAAUGGGAUUAGAAACCCCUGUAGUCC